UGGGGAAUUUUGGACAAUGGGCGAAAGCCUGAUCCAGCAAUGCCGCGUGUGUGAAGAAGGCCUUCGGGUUGUAAAGCACUUUUGUCCGGAAAGAAAUCCUUGGCUCUAAUACAGUCGGGGGAUGACGUACCGGAAGAAUAAGCACCGGCUAACUACGUGCCAGCAGCCGCGGUAAUACGUAGGGUGCAAGCGUUAAUCGGAAUUACUGGGCGUAAAGCGUGCGCAGGCGGUUUGCUAAGACCGAUGUGAAAUCCCCGGGCUCAACCUGGGAACUGCAUUGGUGACUGGCAGGCUAGAGUAUGGCAGAGGGGGGUAGAAUUCCACGUGUAGCAGUGAAAUGCGUAGAGAUGUGGAGGAAUACCGAUGGCGAAGGCAGCCCCCUGGGCCAAUACUGACGCUCAUGCACGAAAGCGUGGGGAGCAAAGCAGGAUUAGAUACCCCUGGUAGUCCACGCCCUAAACGAUGUCAACUAGUUGUUGGGGAUUCAUUUCCUUAGUAACGUAGCUAACGCGUGAAGUUGACCGCCUGGGGAGUACGGUCGCAAGAUUAAAACUCAAUGAAUUGACGGGGUCAUAGCUGUUUCCU
RNAcentral lists this ribosomal RNA (585 nucleotides) under uncultured bacterium. Its description in RNAcentral is "partial 16S ribosomal RNA". It matches the Rfam family "Bacterial small subunit ribosomal RNA", at positions 355 to 1375 of the family's 1533-position model. The record is from RNAcentral.